GACGAACGCUGGCGGCGUGCUUAACACAUGCAAGUCGAACGGAAAGGCCCUGCUCUUGUGGGGUGCUCGAGUGGCGAACGGGUGAGUAACACGUGAGUAACCUGCCCUUGACUUUGGGAUAACUUCAGGAAACUGGGUCUAAUACCGGAUAGGAGCUCCUGCUGCAUGGUGGGGGUUGGAAAGUUUCGGCGGUUGGGGAUGGACUCGCGGCUUAUCAGCUUGUUGGUGGGGUAGUGGCUUACCAAGGCUUUGACGGGUAGCCGGCCUGAGAGGGUGACCGGCCACAUUGGGACUGAGAUACGGCACAGACUCCUACGGGAGGCAGCAGUGGGGAAUAUUGCACAAUGGGCGGAAGCCUGAUGCAGCACCGCCGCGUGCGGGAUGACGGCCUUCGGGUUGUAAACCGCUUUCGCCUGUGACGAAGCGUGAGUGACGGUAAUGGGUAAAGAAGCACCGGCUAACUACGUG
Molecule: ribosomal RNA, 468 nt
Filed under: uncultured bacterium
Lineage: Bacteria
Description: partial 16S ribosomal RNA
Rfam family: Bacterial small subunit ribosomal RNA
Source: RNAcentral